GUGCUUUGGCGCGGCUAACCGUCGUGGCGUUGUCUUUUCACUGUGCCUCCUGUUGUGCCCGUGCGGCCCGGGAGGAACGCUUGAUAUUUUCGGUCGUCUGUGCGGUUCUACCCUAGUGCGGUACGACAUUCGGUUCCAUGACGGAUAUUUGCUUGUCCCGUUGAUAUUCAUUAUCAUCGGUGCAGCCGACCUGUGGGCUUAAUUCAUGUGUUGCAGUGGGCGAGGGCCUCGGCACUGCGCUUGGAUUUCGCCGGCUCUCACGGAUGCCGUGCCCUUUGAGGAACUCGCGGGCCUCCGGUCCCCUGAUUCCCACGGGAUGUCCCUUGCAUUGGAUCAUUGCUCCGCCGCUCCGCUAUAUUGGUGCGGGUGUUGGGAUGUCGGCGCGGUGCGUGCGGGGCGUGAUCCUGUGCAAGUGAGAUGUUUGUCCGAUCGAAUGAGCGAUUGUCGCGCGUCGUUCCUCAGCGUCGUGGCGGCACUCGUUUAAGACGUGCUACCUGGUUGAUCCUGCCAGUAGUCA
Molecule: unclassified non-coding RNA, 517 nt
Filed under: Tetraria fimbriolata
Lineage: Eukaryota; Viridiplantae; Streptophyta; Magnoliopsida; Poales; Cyperaceae
Description: partial external transcribed spacer 1
Source: RNAcentral